This 1047-nucleotide long non-coding RNA is filed under the name Citrus x clementina. RNAcentral's name for it is "Citrus clementina (C. clementina) long non-coding RNA (CCLE_LNC004061)". Lineage: Eukaryota; Viridiplantae; Streptophyta; Magnoliopsida; Sapindales; Rutaceae. The record is from RNAcentral.
CCGUUGAUCCUUGCUCCAAAAACUAAUCAAGAUACAACUCUUUGCUGCUUGACGGUAAGAUCAUUUACAUUUUCAAGGAGAAGACUAUCUUCACAGAGUGUUCCAAGGGGUCUCAUAAUCCAAAAUGCAGCAACAAAACCUGCAAAAUCACCAGGUAAUAUUUAGUUAAUUUUUUAAAAGAUUUUCCAUAGGAUUUUGAAGAUUCCAGAAACAACUGGAUAAAUCUAUGCCAUUAGUUAUAUUAUAUUUAGAAUAAAGCUAGGAAUCUCAAUUAUAAUCUCAGCUUUCGAGUCCCUACUGGUAAGAGUCACAUGACAUCACUCAGUUAUUAACUCUAAUGAUGGGAUAAUAGUUGGGAUCCUAGCAUUAUUGUUGUAUUUAAGCUUAACUCUGACUUGGGUUACUUUUACUCUCCUUUGGAGGAAUCAGCUGAAGAAGAUUGGAAGACUAAGAGGGAGUUACUGCUACAGAAAAGGGUACUUAUCAGUUCUGUGUCUCUCUGCACACACACUAAUUAAGGCAUGCCUGCUUAGACAGUAAUUUGCUUUUAUCUACUGCCUUUAUACUUUGUAAACAUGAAUUUUCAAUCAAAUAUGGGACUUUAUAAAGCCUUUACACACGCAUGCAUAUUGAUACAUGAAGGGAUUGCGGUUCAAAGCUUACAAUUUUGAGAACGUCAAUUUUGGGAAUAUCUCAAAUGUCAAGUAGUGACAUAGGAAUUCUAUAGUUUGAUUUGCAAAAUAUAAUGCAGCAUUCUGUACCAUUUAUUAUCUUUCAAAAGAAGUUCAGGGUUCAAUAUAGACUGAAUUACCGUCUCAAUGCAUUUUUGUUCUGGUCCAUUGAUCUCGAAUAGACAAUCGCUGACAAGUAAUAACGGAAAAAAUAAGAAUGAGAUAAAGAGAACAACCUAUAUUUUUCAGGAAAGGAAGGAAACGGAUUAUUCACGAGCCAGGUUGGAUGAACCUUGACAAUCAGGAUAUGUUUUGGUGAUGAUUAAAUUGAGUCUUUGGAUAAAAUCUGUUGAAGUGUUUUAUCUUCUGCAGGUAA